RNAcentral lists this ribosomal RNA (254 nucleotides) under uncultured bacterium. Its description in RNAcentral is "partial 16S ribosomal RNA". It matches the Rfam family "Bacterial small subunit ribosomal RNA", at positions 524 to 776 of the family's 1533-position model. The record is from RNAcentral.
GACGAACCGUGCGAACGUUAUUCGGAAUCACUGGGCUUAAAGCGCGUGUAGGCGGGUCGGCACGUCGGGAGCUGAAAUCCCCCGGCUCAACCGGGGAAGGGGCGCCGAUACGACCGGCCUGGAGGGACGUAGGGGGGGCUGGAACUUCCGGUGGAGCGGUGAAAUGCGUUGAGAUCGGAAGGAACGCCCGUGGCGAAAGCGAGCCCCUGGACGUCUACUGACGCUGAGACGCGAAAGCCAGGGGAGAGAACGGG